GACCUCGCGAGAGCAAGCGGACCUCAUAAAGUAUGUUGUAGUCCGGAUUGGAGUCUGCAACUUGACUCCAUGAAGUCGGAAUCGCUAGUAAUCGUAGAUCAGAAUGCUACGGUGAAUACGUUCCCGGGCCUUGUACACACCGCCCGUCACACCAUGGGAGUGGGUUGCAAAAGAAGUAGGUAGCUUAACCUUCGGGAGGGCGCUUACCA
This 209-nucleotide ribosomal RNA is filed under the name Raoultella sp. RNAcentral's name for it is "partial 16S ribosomal RNA". It matches the Rfam family "Bacterial small subunit ribosomal RNA", at positions 1251 to 1459 of the family's 1533-position model. The record is from RNAcentral. Lineage: Bacteria; Pseudomonadati; Pseudomonadota; Gammaproteobacteria; Enterobacterales; Enterobacteriaceae.